This 252-nucleotide ribosomal RNA is filed under the name uncultured bacterium. RNAcentral's name for it is "partial 16S ribosomal RNA". It matches the Rfam family "Bacterial small subunit ribosomal RNA", at positions 524 to 775 of the family's 1533-position model. The record is from RNAcentral.
UACAGAGGUCUCAAGCGUUGUUCGGAUUCAUUGGGCUUAAAGGGUGCGUAGGCGGUGCGGUAAGUCGGGUGUGAAAUCUCGGAGCUUAACUCCGAAACUGCAUUCGAUACUGCCGUGCUUGAGGACUGGAGAGGAGACUGGAAUUUACGGUGUAGCGGUGAAAUGCGUAGAUAUCGUGAGGAACACCAGAGGCGAAGGCGGCUACCUGGACAAUUGCUGACGCUCAGGCACGAAAGCGUGGGGAGCAAAGGG